This 1346-nucleotide ribosomal RNA is filed under the name uncultured bacterium. Its description in RNAcentral is "bacterial SSU rRNA". It matches the Rfam family "Bacterial small subunit ribosomal RNA", at positions 28 to 1381 of the family's 1533-position model. The record is from RNAcentral.
GACGAACGCUGGCGGCGUGCUUAACACAUGCAAGUCGAACGGAAAGGCCCUGCUUUUGUGGGGUGCUCGAGUGGCGAACGGGUGAGUAACACGUGAGUAACCUGCCCUUGACUUUGGGAUAACUUCAGGAAACUGGGGCUAAUACCGGAUAGGAGCUCCUGCUGCAUGGUGGGGGUUGGAAAGUUUCGGCGGUUGGGGAUGGACUCGCGGCUUAUCAGCUUGUUGGUGGGGUAGUGGCUUACCAAGGCUUUGACGGGUAGCCGGCCUGAGAGGGUGACCGGCCACAUUGGGACUGAGAUACGGCCCAGACUCCUACGGGAGGCAGCAGUGGGGAAUAUUGCACAAUGGGCGGAAGCCCGAUGCAGCAACGCCGCGUGCGGGAUGACGGCCUUCGGGUUGUAAACCGCUUUCGCCUGUGACGAAGCGUGAGUGACGGUAAUGGGUAAAGAAGCACCGGCUAACUACGUGCCAGCAGCCGCGGUGAUACGUAGGGUGCGAGCGUUGUCCGGAUUUAUUGGGCGUAAAGGGCUCGUAGGUGGUUGAUCGCGUCGGAAGUGUAAUCUUGGGGCUUAACCCUGAGCGUGCUUUCGAUACGGGUUGACUUGAGGAAGGUAGGGGAGAAUGGAAUUCCUGGUGGAGCGGUGGAAUGCGCAGAUAUCAGGAGGAACACCAGUGGCGAAGGCGGUUCUCUGGGCCUUUCCUGGCGCUGAGGAGCGAAAGCGUGGGGAGCGAACAGGCUUAGAUACCCUGGUAGUCCACGCUGUAAACGGUGGGUACUAGGUGUGGGGUCCAUUCCACGGGUUCCGUGCCGUAGCUAACGCUUUAAGUACCCCGCCUGGGGAGUACGGCCGCAAGGCUAAAACUCAAAGGAAUUGACGGGGCCCCGCACAAGCGGCGGAGCAUGCGGAUUAAUUCGAUGCAACGCGUAGAACCUUACCUGGGUUUGACAUGGAUCGGGAGCGCUCAGAGAUGGGUGUGCCUCUUUUGGGGUCGGUUCACAGGUGGUGCAUGGCUGUCGUCAGCUCGUGUCGUGAGAUGUUGGGUUAAGUCCCGCAACGAGCGCAACCCUUGUUCACUGUUGCCAGCACGUUAUGGUGGGGACUCAGUGGAGACCGCCGGGGUCAACCCGGAGGAAGGUGGGGAUGACGUCAAGUCAUCAUGCCCCUUAUGUCCAGGGCUUCACGCAUGCUACAAUGGCUGGUACAGAGAGUGGCGAGCCUGUGAGGGUGAGCGAAUCUCGGAAAGCCGGUCUCAGUUCGGAUUGGGGUCUGCAACUCGACCUCAUGAAGUCGGAGUCGCUAGUAAUCGCAGAUCAGCAACGCUGCGGUGAAUACGUUCCCGGGGCU